This 465-nucleotide ribosomal RNA is filed under the name uncultured bacterium. Its description in RNAcentral is "bacterial SSU rRNA". It matches the Rfam family "Bacterial small subunit ribosomal RNA", at positions 338 to 795 of the family's 1533-position model. The record is from RNAcentral.
CCUACGGGAGGCAGCAGUGGGGAAUAUUGGACAAUGGGCGCAAGCCUGAUCCAGCAAUGCCGCGUGUGUGAAGAAGGCCUGCGGGUUGUAAAGCACUUUAAGCAGGGAAGAAGGGGCAGGAGUUAAUACCUUCUGUCAUUGACGUUACCUGCAGAAUAAGCACCGGCUAACUCCGUGCCAGCAGCCGCGGUAAUACGGAGGGUGCGAGCGUUAAUCGGAAUUACUGGGCGUAAAGCGCGCGUAGGCGGUUGGCUAAGUUUGCUGUGAAAGCCCCGGGCUUAACCUGGGAACUGCAGUGAAUACUGGUCAGCUAGAGUAUGGUAGAGGGUAGUGGAAUUUCCGGUGUAGCAGUGAAAUGCGUAGAGAUCGGAAGGAACACCAGUGGCGAAGGCGGCUAUCUGGACCAAUACUGACGCUGAGGUGCGAAAGCGUGGGGAGCAAACAGGAUUAGAUACCCCUGUAGUC